AGCACAAGUGAUGAACAACAAAGGGACUUAAUACUGAAACCUGAUGUGAUACUGUGAUGUCUGAUGUGC
Small nucleolar RNA from Ursus americanus (American black bear), 69 nucleotides. Its record names the gene SNORD82. It matches the Rfam family "Small nucleolar RNA SNORD82". Rfam says of the family: snoRNA U82 or Z25 is found in both humans and mice. U82/Z25 is a member of the C/D class of snoRNA which contain C (UGAUGA) and D (CUGA) box motifs. Most of the members of the box C/D family function in directing site-specific 2'-O-methylation of substrate RNAs. NCBI's taxonomy places the organism in Eukaryota, Metazoa, Chordata, Mammalia, Carnivora, Ursidae. The record is from Ensembl.